UACGAAGGGGGCUAGCGUUGCUCGGAAUCACUGGGCGUAAAGCGCACGUAGGCGGACUCUUAAGUCGGGGGUGAAAUCCUGGAGCUCAACUCCAGAACUGCCUUCGAUACUGAGAGUCUUCGAGUUCGGGAGAGGUGAGUGGAACUGCGAGUGUAGAGGUGAAAUUCGUAGAUAUUCGCAAGAACACCAGUGGCGAAGGCGGCUCACUGGCCCGAUACUGACGCUGAGGCGCGAAAGCUAGGGGAGCAAACGGG
This 254-nucleotide ribosomal RNA is filed under the name uncultured bacterium. RNAcentral's name for it is "partial 16S ribosomal RNA". It matches the Rfam family "Bacterial small subunit ribosomal RNA", at positions 524 to 776 of the family's 1533-position model. The record is from RNAcentral.